GACGAACGCUGGCGGCGUGCUUAACACAUGCAAGUCGAACGGUGAAGCGCCUUCCUUUUUGGUGGGUGUGGAUGAGUGGCGAACGGGUGAGUAACACGUGAGUAACCUGCCCCCUUCUUCUGGAUAACCGCAUGAAAGUGUGGCUAAUACGGGAUAUUCUGGGUCUGUCGCAUGAUGGGUCUGGGAAAGAUAUUGUUUCGGUGGGGGAUGGGCUCGCGGCCUAUCAGCUUGUUGGUGGGGUGAUGGCCUACCAAGGCGGUGACGGGUAGCCGGCCUGAGAGGGUGGACGGUCACACUGGGACUGAGACACGGCCCAGACUCCUACGGGAGGCAGCAGUGGGAAAUAUUGCACAAUGGGCGCAAGCCUGAUGCAGCGACGCCGCGUGAGGGAUGGAGGCCUUCGGGUUGUGAACCUCUUUCGCCAGUGAAGCAGGCCUGCCUCGUUUGUGGGUGGGUUGACGGUAGCUGGAUAAGAAGCGCCGGCUAACUACG
This 492-nucleotide ribosomal RNA is filed under the name uncultured bacterium. Its description in RNAcentral is "partial 16S ribosomal RNA". It matches the Rfam family "Bacterial small subunit ribosomal RNA", at positions 28 to 505 of the family's 1533-position model. The record is from RNAcentral.